RNAcentral lists this long non-coding RNA (217 nucleotides) under Elaeis guineensis (African oil palm). RNAcentral's name for it is "long non-coding RNA (EGUI_LNC004727)". The record is from RNAcentral. Lineage: Eukaryota; Viridiplantae; Streptophyta; Magnoliopsida; Arecales; Arecaceae.
CCCCUUCCUGUUAGACUUGUCUUACAACUCUCUAGCAAGCAAGCUGCGAAAUAAAUUUUUUUGGUAUACCCAUAAAGAUAUCCAUCUAAUAAAAUCAGAACACACAAGCACUCGAAAGGCCAGCCAGAGGUAAGGUUGGAGAGAACUAGAAAAUAAGCACACAAGAUCACUUCGGGGAGACAUGUGAGUAGGAGAGAUGGAGUUAGGAUUUAAAUUA